CCUACGGGAGGCAGCAGUGAGGAAUAUUGGUCAAUGGACGAGAGUCUGAACCAGCCAAGUAGCGUGAAGGAUGACUGCCCUAUGGGUUGUAAACUUCUUUUAUAAAGGAAUAAAACGAGGCACGUGUGCCUUUUUGCAUGUACUUUAUGAAUAAGGAUCGGCUAACUCCGUUCCAGCAGCCGCGGUAAUACGGAGGAUCCGAGCGUUAUCCGGAUUUAUUGGGUUUAAAGGGAGCGUAGAUGGGUUGUUAAGUCAGUUGUGAAAGUUUGCGGCUCAACCGUAAAAUUGCAAUUGAUACUGGCAGUCGUGAGUACAGUUGAGGUAGGCGGAAUUCGUGGUGUAGCGGUGAAAUGCUUAGAUAUCACGAAGAACCCCGAUUGCGAAGGCAGCUUACUAAACUGUGACUGACAUUGAUGCUCGAAAGUGUGGGUAUCAAACAGGAUUAGAUACCCUGGUAGUC
This 460-nucleotide ribosomal RNA is filed under the name uncultured bacterium. Its description in RNAcentral is "partial 16S ribosomal RNA". It matches the Rfam family "Bacterial small subunit ribosomal RNA", at positions 338 to 795 of the family's 1533-position model. The record is from RNAcentral.